Molecule: RNA transcript, 1002 nt
Organism: Zingiber officinale
Lineage: Eukaryota; Viridiplantae; Streptophyta; Magnoliopsida; Zingiberales; Zingiberaceae
Gene name: glycine cleavage system H protein 2, mitochondrial-like
Exons: 5
Source: RefSeq, a predicted model, not a curated record
CUAUAUGUCUUUCCAAAUCCCUCUCUCUUCAUCACCUCCUCCUAUCCUUUCUUUUUUACUGCUCCAACCGGCUCUUCUCUUCUCGCUUCUCCUCCCUCGUCUGCCGGCAUUCUCCCUUGGUUGAUCUCCGUCCUUCCUCCUCCAAGAUUCGACAGGAAGGUGGGAUGCGAUCAUCGAGGUGACGACCACCUUGGACCCAUCUUCAACGAUGGGCACGGCGUUGGCAUUGUAGCUGGGCCUCCUAGCAGUGUGCAUCGUCCUACCUCAAGAUCAUAACAAUGGCAUCUAGGUUGUUGUGGGCUUCGAGGGUCGCCUCCUACCUCAAGAUCUCCACCUGCCCUAGCGCCUUCUCCAUAGUUAUUAAAGAUUUGAAAUAUGCUAACACACAUGAGUGGGUUAAAGUUGAUGGCUCUACUGCAACAAUAGGAAUAACUGACCAUGCUCAGGAUCAUUUAGGUGAUGUUGUGUAUAUUGCAUUACUAGAAGUUGGUUCCUACGUGAAGCAGGGCAAAAAUUUUGGUGCAGUUGAGAGUGUCAAGGUUAAUGCAAGUCCAUUCGAGGAUGGUUGGAUCGUAAAGGUCAAAUCGAGCAACGAUGGAGAAGUGAAUUCAUUAAUGGAUUCCGAACAAUACUCAAAGUUCUACGAGGAAGAGGAUGCAAAGCAUUGAGGAUAUUCAUUUUCAAAAUCACUUCAUUGCCUCUGGUUAGAUGUCUCUCAAGAAUUGGAAGGUUGGUAUUGAAUGGAGGUACCCAACUGAAGAUGGAUAGGUGGAUGUUUCAACUGAAGAUGGAUUGGUUUCACAUGUCAAUUAUCUUCAAAUCUAGAUAAUGUUGGGUUAACGUUUGUGUUAAUCAAUGUAUCUAUCAUUUUGGGAACUAUCUUCGAAUCUGGACAUAUUAAUUUUCUUCAAAUCUUGUUUGAAUCAUGUUGAUAAUAUCAUCAUUUUGGGAAUUAUGUACUUGGUUUUUUAUGUACAUUGUGUAUCUAUCUCUAUUUAUAUA